UCUGCCGCUGCCACUGCUGUAGCUGCCACCACUGCUGCUGCUGCUGCUGUAGCCACUGCCACUGCUGCUGCUGGAGAUGCCCCUGCUGCUGUCAGAGCCGCUGCUGCCCCUGUUGGAGCUGGACCCGGAGCUGGAGCUGGCUGAAGAAACUGGACUGCAAGACCUUAAUUCUGAAGACGCCACAUGCUUUGGUUGCAGAACACUGAAAAAUCAAGCUGUAAUCCUUCCCAAUGGCUAGCUGUCAGAAACCUGGAAAGUGCUGAGGGGAAAAAGUCAUCGAGUCUUGACCAGCAGUCAACCCUACAAACUACACAAGUUUCCAACCAGACAAGGUGUGAUCACUGGUAUAGUAGUAGCUUGUAGAGGUAGCCAGCUGCUCUCUGAGUGGAUUUGACUCCUGCUUCAUGGAAUGGAAUCCAUGCUGGGUACUGAAAACCUAGUCAAAAGCCUGUGGCUGAGAAGGUCAUAAGCUACUAUUAGUACUGCUACUAUUGUUUGAGUAAAAAUGUAUAUUAUAUCCAUAAAAUUAUCCUCUAAAUA
Jaculus jaculus (lesser Egyptian jerboa) is the source of this 540-nucleotide long non-coding RNA. RefSeq lists it as uncharacterized. Lineage: Eukaryota; Metazoa; Chordata; Mammalia; Rodentia; Dipodidae. The transcript has 2 exons. The record is from RefSeq and is a predicted model, not a curated record.